Molecule: ribosomal RNA, 340 nt
Filed under: uncultured eukaryote
Lineage: Eukaryota
Description: bacterial SSU rRNA
Rfam family: Eukaryotic small subunit ribosomal RNA
Source: RNAcentral
CAAUAGCGUAUACUAAUGUUGCUGCAGUUAAAAAGCUCGUAGUUGAAAGUGGACAUUUGUCCUAUUACACUACUCUGUAGUGAUUUUACUAUGAAUAAAUUAGAGUGUUUCAGGCAGGCUUUAGCUUGAAUACAUCAGCAUGGAAUAAAAGAAUACGAUUAAUUUACUUUGGUGAGUAAACUAAUAAUGAUUAACAGGAGCAGUUGGGGGUAUUCGUAUUUAAUAGCUAGAGGUAAAAUUCUUGGAUUUAUUAAAGACGAACAAACGCGAAAGCAUUUAUCAAGGAUGUUUUCAUUAAUCAAGAACGAAAGUUAGGGGAUCAAAGAUGAUUAGAUAGCGU